GAUGAAGAACGUAGCGAAAUGGGAUAAGUAAUGUGAAUUGCAGAAUUCAGUGAAUCAUCGAAUCUUUGAACGCACCUUGCGCCCUUUGGCCAUUCCGAAGGGCAUGCCUGUUUGAGUAUCAUGAACACCUCAACUCUUCAUGGUUUUCCGUGAUGAGCUUGGACUUUGGGGGUCUUGCUGGCCUAUGGUCAGCUCCUCUAAAAUAAAUCAGCUUGCCAGUGUUUGGUGGGUAUCACAGGUGUGAUAACUAUCUACGCUUGUGGUUUUCCACCAGGUAACCUUCAGCAGUGGAGGUUCGCUGGAGCUCACAGAUGUGUCUCUCCUCAGUGAGGACAGCUCUUUGAAUGUUUGAUCUCAAAUCAGGUAGGACUACCCGCUGAACUUAAGCAUAUCAAUAAGCGGAGGA
RNAcentral lists this unclassified non-coding RNA (406 nucleotides) under soil metagenome. RNAcentral's name for it is "partial contains 5.8S ribosomal RNA, internal transcribed spacer 2, and large subunit ribosomal RNA". The stretch from base 1 to 121 matches the Rfam family "5.8S ribosomal RNA", at positions 35 to 154 of the family's 154-position model. The record is from RNAcentral.